GGUUAAGUUACUAAGGGCACACGGUGGAUGCCUUGGCGCUAGGAGCCGAAGAAGGACGCAGCGAACUGCGAUAAGCCUCGGGGAGCGGUAAGCACGCUUCGAUCCGGGGAUUUCCGAAUGGGGCAACCCACCAUCCGUAAUGGGAUGGUAUCCAUACCUGAAUUCAUAGGGUAUGUGAAGGCAGACCCGGUGAACUGAAACAUCUAAGUAGCCGGAGGAAGAGAAAACAAUAGUGAUUCCCCUAGUAGCGGCGAGCGAACGGGGAAGAGCCUAAACCGUCAAGUUUACUUGACGGGGUUGUGGGGCGUCUCACAUGGAGUUACAAAAGACGCGCGUAGGUGAAUCGUUUGGGAAAGCGAACCAAAGAGCGUGACAGUCGCGUAACCUAAACGCGCGUCUCUCCGAGACGGACCCCGAGUAGCACGGGACACGUGAAAUCCCGUGUGAAUCUGGCAGGACCAUCUGCUAAGGCUAAAUACUACCUAGCGACCGAUAGUGAACCAGUACCGUGAGGGAAAGGUGAAAAGCACCCCGGGAGGGGAGUGAAAGAGUACC
This 555-nucleotide ribosomal RNA is filed under the name Brevibacillus fulvus. RNAcentral's name for it is "Bacterial large subunit ribosomal RNA". It matches the Rfam family "Bacterial large subunit ribosomal RNA", at positions 1 to 550 of the family's 2925-position model. Lineage: Bacteria; Bacillati; Bacillota; Bacilli; Caryophanales; Paenibacillaceae. The record is from Rfam by way of RNAcentral.